Molecule: non-coding RNA, 747 nt
Organism: Cinara cedri
Lineage: Eukaryota; Metazoa; Arthropoda; Insecta; Hemiptera; Aphididae
Source: the annotation of a GenBank genome assembly
ACUGGGCUUAUUAAAAUUUUUAUAACGAAGUGUGUUGAUCAGGUCCUGUUGAUUCUUAAACUCAAUAUAUUCUUCGGAUUUAGAAUUAGAAAACACUUCAUUAAUAUGACUAACCUCUGGUGAAUACAAAAAAUUAUAAAAAAAAUUAAAGUUUACCAAUUGUUUAAAAUUAUUUACUAAAUAAGAAAAAUUGUGUACAACAAUGCUUCAAGAAGAUUAAAAUUGUUUCUAAGUUAAAGAUACAUGCAAUUCUAAUAUUUUAUAAAAUCUUUUCUUCUUUUUUGCUUGCAUUAAUUAUUGUUUAUGUUUUAUUAUUGGUAAAACAAAUAUGGUGAUGACUGUGAUGUACCUAUGGUAUUAAACAUUAAUGCUUCUGGGUUAAUUUUCAGAGCUAAGCCGAUAAAACUUAUUUCCAUUAUAUAUUAUUAAUAUAAAACCGAUAAGCGAAUGAUUAUUAUGUUUACUUGAAUCCAUGAACAAAUACAAAAAAUCAAAUCUUUUCUAUUAAAACAGUUUUCCGAUAUAUAAUCUGAUAUGAAUGGCAGUUUAUCAAGAAUUUAUUCUAAGUAUUUGUAGCAUUAUUGAAAUUUUAUGAUUAACAUGGAUUAUCUACAAGUGUAUAAUAAGUCAUUAACAAAUGGGGAUUACUUGUCAAACCUAAUAAUCUAAGACCAUGAACUAUCCAUAAAAAUAUAAAGUAUAAAAGAUAAUUCUUUUUAAUCUUCAAUUAUAUGGUCUAUGCAAAUU